GCCAGGCAGGGUGGCCCAUACCUGUAAUCCCAGCAACUUGGGAGGUUGAGACAGGGGAUUUCUAGUUCAAGGCCAGUCUGGGCAACUUAGAGAGACCCUCAGCAACUUAGCAAGACCCUGUCUCAA
Molecule: small RNA, 126 nt
Filed under: Marmota monax (woodchuck)
Lineage: Eukaryota; Metazoa; Chordata; Mammalia; Rodentia; Sciuridae
Source: RNAcentral